AUAGCUCAGUGGUAGAGCACUUGCUUAGCAUGUGCAAGACCCUGGGUUUAAUCCCCAGU
Molecule: transfer RNA, 59 nt
Filed under: Ictidomys tridecemlineatus (thirteen-lined ground squirrel)
Lineage: Eukaryota; Metazoa; Chordata; Mammalia; Rodentia; Sciuridae
Also listed under: 1 other name
Description: Spermophilus tridecemlineatus (thirteen-lined ground squirrel) tRNA
Rfam family: tRNA
About the family: Transfer RNA (tRNA) molecules are approximately 80 nucleotides in length. Their secondary structure includes four short double-helical elements and three loops (D, anti-codon, and T loops).
Source: Rfam by way of RNAcentral